RNAcentral lists this transfer RNA (64 nucleotides) under Thermus thermophilus JL-18. RNAcentral describes it as "tRNA-Und (NNN) (tRNA-Und-NNN-1-1)". Lineage: Bacteria; Thermotogati; Deinococcota; Deinococci; Thermales; Thermaceae. The record is from RNAcentral.
CCGGGGGGAUUCAGGGUCAUGUGCCCGCAAGGGCGUGCGGGUUCAAGUCCCGCCCCCGGCACCA